AUUGAACGCUGGCGGCAGGCCUAACACAUGCAAGUCGAGCGGAUGAAGAGAGCUUGCUCCUGGAUUCAGCGGCGGACGGGUGAGUAAUGCCUAUGAAUCUGCCUGGUAGUGGGGGAUAACGUCCGGAAACGGGCGCUAAUACCACAUACGUCCUGAGGGAGAAAGUGGGGGAUCUUCGGACCUCACGCUAUCAGAUGAGCCUAGGUCGGAUUAGCUAGUUGGUGGGGUAAAGGCCUACCAAGGCGACGAUCCGUAACUGGUCUGAGAGGAUGAUCAGUCACACUGGAACUGAGACACGGUCCAGACUCCUACGGGAGGCAGCAGUGGGGAAUAUUGGACAAUGGGCGAAAGCCUGAUCCAGCCAUGCCGCGUGUGUGAAGAAGGUCUUCGGAUUGUAAAGCACUUUAAGUUGGGAGGAAGGGCAGUAAGUUAAUACCUUGCUGUUUUGACGUUACCAACAGAAUAAGCACCGGCUAACUUCGUG
This 484-nucleotide ribosomal RNA is filed under the name uncultured bacterium. Its description in RNAcentral is "partial 16S ribosomal RNA". It matches the Rfam family "Bacterial small subunit ribosomal RNA", at positions 30 to 507 of the family's 1533-position model. The record is from RNAcentral.